UUAUUUGCAAGGUUGUGAAAAUAUGCUUUAAAUAAAUUGCUUGACAUGACUUUAAAAUUAACAUUAGCUUUACAUGACUUUAAAAUUAACAUUAGCUUUACAUUAGCUUUACAUGAUCUUAUUUGCUUGACAUGACUUUAAAAUUAACAUUAGCUUUACAUGUUGUUAUAUCAAAAGUAUCGAAAGAUGGCUUUUCACUAAUCGAAUGUGUGAUGAUAAAAUCAAGUAAAAUAUGAAUACGAGUUAACUCAUACAACACUUGAAUCGGGUA
Molecule: long non-coding RNA, 271 nt
Filed under: Capsella grandiflora
Lineage: Eukaryota; Viridiplantae; Streptophyta; Magnoliopsida; Brassicales; Brassicaceae
Description: long non-coding RNA (CGRA_LNC001561)
Source: RNAcentral